Scleropages formosus (Asian bonytongue) is the source of this 117-nucleotide small nuclear RNA. Its record names the gene U5. It matches the Rfam family "U5 spliceosomal RNA". From Rfam's summary of the family: U5 RNA is a component of both types of known spliceosome. The precise function of this molecule is unknown, though it is known that the 5' loop is required for splice site selection and p220 binding, and that both the 3' stem-loop and the Sm site are important for Sm protein binding and cap methylation. Lineage: Eukaryota; Metazoa; Chordata; Actinopteri; Osteoglossiformes; Osteoglossidae. The record is from Ensembl.
GAACUCUGGUUUCUCUUCAGAUCGUAUAAAUCUUUCGCCUUUUACUAAAGAUUUCCGUGGAGAGGAACAAUUAUGAGUAUAAACUAAUUUUUUGAUGCCCCGCCGUAAGGUGGGGCU